CUCAUAGCUCAGCUGGAUAGAGUACUCGGCUACGAACCGAGCGGUCGGAGGUUCGAAUCCUCCUGAG
Molecule: transfer RNA, 67 nt
Filed under: Ectopseudomonas oleovorans
Lineage: Bacteria; Pseudomonadati; Pseudomonadota; Gammaproteobacteria; Pseudomonadales; Pseudomonadaceae
Also listed under: 1 other name
Description: Pseudomonas oleovorans tRNA-Arg
Rfam family: tRNA
About the family: Transfer RNA (tRNA) molecules are approximately 80 nucleotides in length. Their secondary structure includes four short double-helical elements and three loops (D, anti-codon, and T loops).
Source: RNAcentral